RNAcentral lists this long non-coding RNA (11606 nucleotides) under Salmo salar (Atlantic salmon). Its description in RNAcentral is "lncRNA (ENSSSAG00000105779.1)". The record is from RNAcentral. Lineage: Eukaryota; Metazoa; Chordata; Actinopteri; Salmoniformes; Salmonidae.
UUAUCUGCUUCUUUAUUGGACAACUCACUGACGACGUAACCCCGCUAAACUCGAACAUGAACAAAACCUCCGCUGCAUAUUUUAGCACCUUGACCAGAGAUUCAACCAGGCAUGGUAAUUGAACUGUAUUCUGCUUGUUUCUUUUGAAAGGCUACAUUUAACAGGUGACUUCUCUAUAGUGCGAAAUGGAUUAUCAACGCCAUAAUACCUCAUGUCCUUUGAGAAUACUUUGCCUUUUUAAUCUGGUAUCCUCUGUAUUGUUGUCCAACUGUCCUCAUAUCUGUGACCCAGGCUUCAUUAUUAACAAGUGUAAGUGUGUCCCUUGUCUCGAUGGCCACUACUGGUACACGCAGAACGGCCUUCCGAAGUGUGACCCCUGCAGCAAAGCCUGCUCAGUUGAUCAGCACUUGACACAGGUGAAGGAAUGCAGCCGGGACUCAAACCGUGAGUGCCACUGUGACAGCGGCUUUUUCUGUGACAUCGCUGCCCAGUAUACCUGCAGGAGGUGUAAGCCGUGCUCUCCCGGAACCUUCUCCAACAAACCAAACCUAACCAUGUCCUGCAAACCCCACACAGAUUGUGGCCAUAAGGGAAUGAUCAUGGUGACAGAGGGCACUGCCUCUCAGGAUCGUGUAUGUGCCCAGACCUCCCCUAACUCUCCUACAACCACUGCACCUCCAACUGUCCACAGCUCAGAGAUAGGCUUUCAUUCUUCUACCUCCAGUGGAGUCAGCACCACCCGAAAACCCCCCAUCAUAGCAUUCCCAUCUAGACUGGUGGGGUCUACAUCUCCUGAUGCCUUUCCCAAAGCCAUAAUUUACACAUCUGCAGACCCUUUACCAGCCUUACUCACCAGGCCUUCUUUGUCCCAAGCCCAGAGCGAGCCCUCUACCUCCCUCCCAACUAGGAAACAAGUCACUGAACACAGCUCCUUUGACCCCAACACAAAGCUUACCACCAGGAGAAACCCCAGCAAGGUGGACAGUAACACCUCACCUGCAGAGUCUGCCUCUACACCUCCUCUUACCACAGAAGACAACGACUCACCUUAUCUUUCAGCAACAGAUACUGGACCGAGCCCUCCCACUCUCCCUUGGCUGCUGCUGAUAGGUGGGCUACUAGGGGUUGUCGUGCUGCUGGUUGGUUACUUUGUCCGUUGUAGGGAGAGGUCACUGAAGUCCAUGGACAAGUGGAAAGGUCCAGUAUUUGGUAAAAAUGCCCAGCCACCACAGGAGAGUUGCCCACACCUGGAGGCCCAGCAUCUUCUGGGGAGGGAGACUGGGGGAAAUCCUAGACAGGAUGGUGCAGGGUUGCUACCUCCAGGGGUCAUGAAGCAGCUCACAGUGGACCACUCUGGAGGAGAGAACAUUAGCAACACAGUGGGGUCCAUUUACAUCUACUCUCCGGGGACGGUUGUCCUGGGAUACAACAAGUCGGAGAGGAAGGUGGAUCAAGUGGAGAGUGGAGUAGAGGGCUGUCCCCUCACCAGAACACCCCAGCAGGAGUCCUCCUGCCCCCUCCCUGAGGGCCCUGCUCUGGGGCCAGAGAGAAUGAGUACACAGGAGGAGACCUGCAAAGAGCUGAGAUACCCCAUCCCGGCCACCAGCAACUGGGAACUAGAAAAAAAAUGAAAUUGAGGAUUAACUAUGGAAAAAGCCUGAGGAGGAGCAACUUCAUUCAAUAUCAAAUAUCAUCUCUAGGGCAAGAAUGCAGACAGAAUAUUAUUUGCUACUGUAAAGACUGUUAGACUGGAUGGCUUCCUUCUGUACAAGGAUUGCAAAAGCCACUGGGGUCCCUCAGGGGUCUUCUAUUAUGAAUGAGUGACAGUUUGUUCCAACUGUAUGUAAUAGUCUUAGCACGGUUUCAAAUUCACUGUAAGUCACUGUUGUGACAGCAGUGCUGGGACAGUAUUUGAGAGCAAUGCAUGGUCUGUUUGAUAUGGGGUGUCGACACUGUGAGUCGGAGUUUCCCAUAAUUGGGUACAUGUACACAAUGGCGCCAGAUCGUGUGAGAGUCUAAGUGUAUCAACCACAGAAACAGUGAAGACAAGAAAUUCAUAUGAGGUGUGAAGUAACCUAUGUAACCAUGAUACAAGUAGGGUUUGGGGUGUGAAGAGCUUACAAUUUCCAUUGUAAAGUAAUACAGUAAUACCAUGUUCACGGGUUACAACCUUUGUUCUGUGAAUCUAUGAUCAAGACAUUGCUAUGCCAUAGCAUGAGCUGUUUUUUUUAUCCUUCAGAAAUUGUAGAACUGUUUCAAGCAAGUGUUUACCGACAAAAUACAAUUUACGAUGAUUUCUGUAUUAGUAUGGAGGAAUGAAAAAUGGUCUCUCUUUUAUAUAGUAGUAGUGCUGAAAAUGUUGACUCAACAUUUUGUGAUUAACAUACCAAAUUUGGCACAGAUGUAGAUGUACAGUGCCUUUGAAAAGUAUUCAGACCCCUUGAUUUUUUCCCACUUUUUGUUACGUUACAGCCUCACUCUAAAACAGAUGAUCUAAAAAAAAAUCCUCAGCACUCUACACACAAUACCCCAUAAUGACAAAGCGAAAACAGGUUUUUAGACAUUUUUGCAAAUGUAGGGGUUAUUCGGCUGUCCGCAUAGGAGAACCCUUUUUGGUUCCAUGUAGAACCCUUUACCCUCGACAUGGAACCUGGAACCAAAAAGGUGUUUUACCGGGAACCAAAAAGGUGUUUUGGUUCCAGGUACUCUGGAACCAAAAAGGUGUUUUACCUGGAACCAAAAAGGUGUUUUACCUGGAUCCAAAAAGGGUUCUUCAAAGGGUUCUCCUAUGGGGACAGCCAAAGAACCCCUAUAAAUGUGUUAAAACAUUUUUUAUAUUUGUAUAGUGUUGUGUUACAAAGGGUUAAUGAAAGAAAGUGUUACUGCUUGACACUGCCUCUUUGCAAUCAUUACCGGUUUGGGUACAGUACGUGGACGACUUGAGGAAAUUGACUGAAAGGUUACUGCAGUGCAAAGACGCCCUCAGUUUCCUUAGCUGGUCAGCAGUUCAAGGAAACGCGCGCUUUUGUUUCAGGUUGUAAUUCGAGUGUUUUUCUGUAGGCUACCUAUACGGUUUCAGUAUGGACUUUUUCGCAAGAUCUUAAAGGGUCAAUAAUAGUUCAAUCAAUCAUGAUACUAAGGACCGUAAGUGGCGUUCUUACAGUGAGGAUUUUUCUAGCAAUCAUGGUGCAGCCUGUUGAGAACAUGGUAAGUGUCCUUCAGACGUGAAUGUUGUGUGACGCGACCAUGACAACGAGAAACAGGUCCGUGUAACUGGUGCAGCCUGACCAAUGUUUAGCUAAAUGGGAUACUCUUUGCAGUGUUGUAUGAUCAUCAGAUCAGAUCAUCAGUCUGAUUUUAAAUAGCGAAUCAUUAAUCAUUGAUUGUUAACAAUUAUCUAGGUCAAUGAAUUGUGUGUGUGCGAGAGAAUGUUGUGUUGUCUUGGAUUUUUCAACUUAAUUUGUCAAGGUAUUGUGACAUAGAAUAUAUGUUUAAAAUACAUAGGAUUUGAAAAAAAAGUCAACAUAAACUGUUGUUUUCAGAGUGAAAUUUAAGGAUUAUGUUAUCGUUGUGACCAAUUUUCAACAUAGAGAAACCUUAUGAAAUAUGUUGAAUUUGUACCUUUGAAACCACGUCAGAUCUUCAACAUUAUAUCCACUAUCAGAAAAAACCAAAGUCUAGGCAGCAUCUACUAGUGGAGAGUUGUCUAACAGGUGUUAAUUUGGUCUCCCAUCCAUGGUUUUAACCAAGCCCAGCACUGCUUAGCUUUGUUGUUUGUUGCUGACUACUACAUGUACCAAUGUCAUAUCAUGAGAAUAAGUAUUGAGAGAUCUCUUAAUAACGAAAUAUAUUCACUGUUGCUGUCGAAGUCAUUCCAAAAGGUUGGUUUAACAGAGCAAAUGAAAUGUAACCAUACUUUAUGUCAUAUCAUCAAUGAUACUAUUUAGGCCUAUACAGAAUUUGCAAAGUCAACAACAUUGUUGUUGUCUAUUAAUGUUGUGUAUUAUGUCAUGUUUCAUGUUUUGUGUGGACACCAGGAAGAGUAGCUACUGCUGUUGCAACAACUAAUGUGGAUCCUAAUAAAAUACCCCAAAAUACCAAAAAAUAGCAAUUGUUUCAAUUCAACCCAAGGUUCAACUAAAAAUAGACAAUACAUAUCGGCCUAGGUUUUCAAACUUUGGUUGAUUUCAAAUGUAAUCUUCAAGUUAUUCAUUCAUUUGUUGAAUUCACAUCUCCAUUUCAACCUAAAAUCUAAGUUAAAGAAUAGGAAUAUAUCAAACUGGAUUUAAAGUUUGAAUAUAUUACAUUUAGUCCUAUUGUUUAACUUACAUUUUUGUUUGACAUAGAGAUCUAACAUAUAAAUUAUUAAUUUGUAGACAAACUGGAUUUUUAUUUCUUUUAUUUUUUAUUUCACCUUUAUUUAACCAGGUAGGCAAGUUGAGAAGAAGUUCUCAUUUACAAUUACGACCUGGCCAAGAUAAAGCAAAGCAGUUUGACACAUACAACAACACAGAGUUACACAUGGAGUAAAACAAACCUACAGUCAAUAAUAUAGUAGAAAAAUAAGUCUAUAUACAAAGUGAGCAAAUGAGGUGAGAUAAGGGAGGUAAAGGCAAAAAAAGGCCAUGGUGGCGAAGUAAAUACAAUAUAGCAAGUAAAACACUGGAAUGGUAGAUUUGCAGUGGAAGAAAGUGCAAAGUAGAAAUAGAAAUAACAGGGUGCAAAGGAGCAAAAUAAAUACAGUAGGGGAAGAGGUAGUUGUUUGGGCUAAAUUAUAGAUGGGCUAUGUACAGGUGCAGUAAUCUGUGAGCUGCUCUGACAGCUGGUGCUUAAAGCUAGUGAGGGAGAUAAGUGUUUCCAGUUUUAGAGAUUUUUGUAGUUCGUUCCAGUCAUUGGCAGCAGAGAACUGGAAGGAGAGGCAGCCGAUGGAGGAAUUGGCUUUGGGGGUGACCAGAGAGAUAUACCUGCUGGAGCGCGGGCUACAGGUGGGUGCUGCUAUGGUGACCAGCAAGCUGAGAUAAGGGGGAACUUUACCUAGCAGGGUCUUGUAGAUGACCUGGAGCCAGUGGGUUUGGCGACGAGUAUGAAGCGAGGUCCAGCCAACAAGAGCGUACAGGUCGCAGUGGUGGGUAGUAUAUGGGGCUUUGGUGACAAAACGGAUGGCACUGUGAUAGACUGCAUCCAGUUUGUUGAGUAGGGUAUUGGAGGCUAUUUUGUAAAUGACGUCGCCGAAGUCGAGGAUUGGUAGGAUGGUCAGUUUUACGAGGGUAUGUUUGGCAGCAUGAGUGAAAGAUGCUUUGUUGCGAAACAGGAAGCCAAUUCUAGAUUUAACUUUGGAUUGGAGAUGCUUAAUGUGAGUCUGGAAGGAGAGUUUACAGUCUAACCAGACACCUAGGUAUUUGUAGUUGUCCACAUAUUUUAAGUCAGAACCGCCCAGAGUAGUGAUGAUGGACGGGUGGGCAGGUGCAGGCAGCGAUCGGUUGAAGAGCAUGCAUUUAGUUUUACUUGUAUUUAAGAGCAGUUGGAGGCCACGGAAGGAGAGUUGUAUGGCAUUGAAGCUCGUCUGGAGGGUAGUUAACACAGUGUCCAAAGAAGGGCCAGAUGUAUACAGAAUGGUGUCGUCUGCGUAGAGGUGGAUCAGAGACUCACCAGCAGCAAGAGCAACAUCAUUGAUGUAUACAGAGAAAAGAGUCAGCCCAAGAAUUGAACCCUGUGGCAUCCCCAUAGAGACUGCCAGAGGCCCGGACAACAGGCCCUCCGAUUUGACACACUGAACUCUAUCAGAGAAGUAGUUGGUGAACCAGGCAAGGAAAUCAUUUGAGAAACCAUGGCUAUUGAGUCUACCGAUGAGGAUGUGGUGAUUGACAGAGUCGAAAGCCUUGGCCAGGUCAAUGAAUACGACUGCACAGUAUUGUUUCUUAUCGAUGGCGGUUAAGAUAUCAUUUAGGAUAGUAAAUUGUGUUUGGUUGUCAACACAACCAAAUAUCAGAUGUAUCUUCUGCUUGGAUAGUUCAAUCUGUGCCAUUGACUUAAUUCGGCUUUAAUUCCAGUUUGUCUACAAAUUAAUAAUUCAUAUGUUGGAUUCACGUCUCCAUCUCAACCAAAACUCAAAGUUAAAGAAUAGGAUUAAAUCAGAUCAAAUCAAACUUUAAAUGCACUUUAAAUCAUGUUUGAUCUUGGUUGAGAUGAAGACGUGAAUCCAACAUAUGAAUUAUUAAUUUGUAGACAAACUGGAAUCAAAGCCAGACUAAGUCAGUGGCACAAAAGAGACUUAUCAUUCAAAUGUUGAUAUUUGGUUUUGUUGAGAACCAAACACAAUGCAAUAUCCCUUUAGCAAUACAGUAAAUAUCCUAUUAACUUGAAACAGAUAUAGGAUCUUAAUUUGAUCACUAUUUUCAAAUCAAAUUGUAUUAGUCACGAAUACAACAGGUCUAGACCUUACAGUGAAAUGCUUACUUACGAGCCCUUAACCAACAGUGCAGUUAAAAAAUAUAUGGAUAAGAAUAAGAGAUAAAAUUAACAAGUAAUUAAAGAGCAGCUGUAAAAAAUAACAAUAUAUACAGGGGUGCCGGUAUAGAGUCAAUGUGCGGGGGCACCGGUUAGUUGAGGUAGUAUGUACAUGUAGGUAGAGUUAUUAAAGUGACUAUGCAUAGAUGACAACAGAGAGUGGCAGUGGUGUGGAGAGGGGAGGGAGGGCAAUGUGAAUAGUCUGGGUAGCCAUUUGACUAGAUGUUCAGGAGUCUUAUGGCUUGGGGGUAGAAGCUGUUUAGAAGCCUCUUGGACCUAGACUUGGUGCUCCGGUACCGCUUGCCAUGUGGUAGCACAGAGAACAGUCUAUGACCAUACCAGGCAGUGAUACAACCAGUCAGGAUGCCCUCGAUAGUGCAGCUGUAGAACCUUUUGAGGAUCUGAGGAUUCCCCCUCAGUCUCCUGAGGGGGAAUAGGUUUUGUCAUGCCUGCUUCACGACUGUCUUGGUGUGCUUGGACCAUGUUAGUUUGUUGGUGAUGUGGACACCAAGGAACUUGAAGCUCUCAACCUGCUCCACUACAGCCCCUGUAGUCCACAAUCAUCUCCUUUGUCUUGAUCACGUUGAGGGAGAGGUUGUUGUCCUGGCACCACACGGCCAGGUCUCUGACCUCCUCCCUAUAGGCUGUCUUGUUGUUGUCGGUGAUCAGGCCUCUACCACUGUUGUGUCAUCGGCAAAUUUAAUGAUGGUGUUGGAGUCGUGCCUGGCCGUGCAGUCAUGAGUGAACAGGGAGUACAGGAUGGGGCUGAGCACGCACCCCUGAGGGGCCCCUGUGUUGAGGAUCAGCGUGGCGGAUGUGUUGUUACCUACCCUUACCACCUGAGGGCGGCCCGUCAGGAAGUCCAGGAUCCAGUUGCGGAGGGAGGUGUUUAGUCCCAGAGUCCUUAGCUUAUUGAUGAGCUUUGAGGGCACUAUGGUGUUGAACGCUAAGCUGUAGUCAAAGAAUAGCAUUCUCACAUAGGUGUUCCUUUUGUCCAGGUGGGAAAGGGCAGUGUGGAGUGCAGUAGAAAUUGCAUCAUCUGUGGAUCUGUUGGGGCGUUAUGCAAAUUGGAGUGGGUCUAGUGUUUCUGGGAUGAUGGUGUUGAUGUGAGCCAUGACCAGCCUUUCAAAGCACUUCAUUGCUACAGACGUGAGUACUACGGGUCGGUAGUCAUUUAGGCUGAGAAUUCUCCUGCACGGCAGGAAAUGCGAACGUCUAAUGUAUUCGAUCUUUAAAAAGGCUUCUAAAGUUUGUCAUUUACACUUUAAAAUGUCCGAAUUGUCCUAACGAAAACAUUUUUUUCAUUAAUUAUAAUCCACAUAAUAAUUCACAUUUCCUCUUGCUGCAGGAUCCUGCUGUAGCAAACAGGCUCAAAAUAAGAUCCUACGCCUGUAUGUUGGAUUCACAUCUCUAACUAAAUAGAAUAGGUGAAUAGGAUUAAGCCAGUGGCUCAGAUGAAACUAUCCCCGCAUUAGAUAUCCAUUAAACGAUGUCCACCAAACACAAUUCAAAAUUACUUUUGUAAUACACGAAAUAGCCUAAAGUUAAGGCAAUCUUAUAAACUAGGUCUAACAGUAUUUAUUCAAACUUAAAAUGUGUAACACAUCCUUUGCCACAUUUGGAGGUUAGCCCACUGUAGCCUAACUAUAAAUUUCCUCUUAUGUCCUCAUAGGAAGUGUGUAUGUUCAAGAUAGCAGGGCAAAGGUCGCAGGUCUGCCAAGUUCCUCUAAUAAUCUGUGCAGAAUCUCGAACAGCUGUGAUCAUUUGUACUUUUAAUGUAGCCUAAUCUCAACUGCAAUCCAGGUCAUUUGGUUGUGCUAAUAACACAUUAAAUGAUUGUAUAAUAACAAAAUAUCGGACAUUGUUUUCCCUUUUGAACUUUGUUGUGCUUUUAAAUUUUGCCCAGUUGGUUGUUUCUUAUUAGUAGGGCACCAGGACAGGGGGUUGAAUAAAGUAUGUCAACCUGUCACAAGAAGAAUCAGGAUGCUUCUGAAAGUAUACAGAAGACAAUGGCAUGCUAUGUAAACCAUGGCAAAGGGGCUAUGCACCAAAUUUGGCACAGCACCAGAUGUAAUGAUCUUCUAUAGCCUAUCAAUACCACUCAUACUAGCCUAUGACUUAUAAAUGAUUUGUAUGGUAUUUUUUUUGUAGCACCUUCACUUCCUCCAAUGUUUGAAAGAUAUCUGUAUUGGUUUCGGGAUGACAUGAUUUCAAAUUGGAUAACCUAUGGUCUGUAUAGUAUGCUUGCAGCGUUGAUAUUUUGUUUUUUCAGCAAUGGAUUAUUUGUUUGUUUGGAAAAAAUAUAUUGCACAGAGCACCUAGGUGCAAAAGCGUUUCAUUCAUUAUUAAUUUCACCAUCAAAAGAAACGGAUGUUUUUGUAAAGCUCAAUAUUUCAUUUUCAGGCUUAACUCGAGUGUUCCACAAAACUAAACACAUCAAAUCAGGAAAACUCCUGAUUCAGUUUUCUGAUUUGAUAUGUUUGUUUUGGAUGGCUGCCAUAAAUGAAAAGGAAAUGCCUGUCAGAAGAGACAUUCUGUCCAUUGUAGAGAGGACGAUAGUGAGAGGCCUUGGCAGCGACAUAUCUUUGGUAUUCAGACGUCAUAGCCAGUCCUUGACAACUUAUUGGAAAUCUCUCCGAUCUCCUCAACCACUUCCUGUCAAACAGAGACAGACAGAUUGUUUAAAAAAAAAAAAAGUUUUACUGUCUGUAUAUUGUGUCUUGUGUCUACUGGCAAACAAUUACUAUACCACAAAUGUGUUAGUGUAUAUUCCCCAGUCCCCAACAGAUAGAAUAGGUCUUCUUUUUUUGCUGACACAAUACCCAACCCUCAGGUUCUACACUUAGAAAAAAAGGUGCUAUCUAGAACCUAAAACGGUUAUUCGGCUGCCCCCAUAGGAGAACCCUUUGAAGAACCCUUCUUGGUUUCAGGUAGAACCCUUUUGGGUUCCAUGUUAAAACCUUUCCAUGGAACCCAAAAGAGCUCUACCUGGAACCAAAAAGGGUUCUCCUAUGGGGAUAGCCGAAUAACCCUUUUGGAACCCUUUCUUCUAAGAGUGUACUAGCGGUUUAAAUAGAAGGCUCUUGGUGGGGCAUGUUACUCAUCACUCCUUCUCCUGAUCAGGUGCACUUCAUGGUCCCCUCGUCCCUACAGGUGUACACUCUGCCAUACGCACCAGACUCUGACGGAUCCUGCCACAACAAAACAGCUGAAUACUAUAACGCAGAGGUAAACCUCUGCUGCAGCAAGUGUACUUCUGGGACACGCCGGAAAGAUCUAUGCAGCUCUACCUCAGACACGGCGUGUGAACCAUGUCCUAGAGGCCAGUACAGUGGGACCUUUAAUUACUUCGCAAAAUGCUUCAGAUGUCCCAAGUGUUCAGCAGACAAAGGCCUGAAGUAUGUCCAGAAGUGCUCCAGCACCACCAAGACUCAGUGUGCGUGCCAGACUGGGAUGUACUGCGUACUGAACCAACACCCGGACUGUGAGGAGUGUGCAAAUUUGACAUACUGCAAGCCUGGUUAUGGGGUCUCUGUAGAAGGUACCAUAGCUGGACAGGAGGCUGGGACAGCAGAGUCGGAUGUGGAAUGUGCAUCAUGCCCCGAUGGAACCUUCUCUGACCAGUACUCCUACACCCAGAUCUGCCAGCACCACACAGAUUGUCUGUCUCAGGGGAGGGACGUACUGACUUACGGUACAGCCACCACCGAUGCGGUGUGUGGACCGAAGGUAAACGGACGACUGGUCUCCAUCCUCCAAACCACCACACCUCCAAGCCCACCGACCACAAUGCCACCCUCUGGUAAAGGGCAUACCACAUCAAGUCUACAGAGCAUGGAUACGUCUACAGUUCCAACCACCCGAGGCUCAAAGCUGACAUCUAGUCCCUCUGAUCCACGGGUCAUCGCUCCAACGGAAGAAAAAUCACCAGGCAUUAACCUCUGGAUAGUUGCAGGUGCUAUCGGAGGUGCUAUGUUCCUGCUGCUGAUCGUAGGCACUGUCAUUUACAAGAAAGCCUUCACAAACUUCAUACGUGUAUCUUCUACAGAAGAUAUAAAUGGAAAUUCUGAGAAGGAGGCCAUUAAAUGUCUGCUGGGGAAAGGAGACUGCAGUAAUGUCGGUCAGGCAGAGACCCAGCAGGAUGCUAUUAAGACCUGGUCAGGCUCAGGGUGCUCCAACAGCCUGGAUGGCUUGUCAAUAAGCCCCGUCCAGUCCACCAUUCCACAGCCCAGCAUCCUGGCCAGCACCCCCCCAGCCCAGCCCCCAAUCCACCAGCCCCCUGGCAUCUGUACCCCUAGUUAAUGUCAACAUCACUGUUACCUACCCUGUGAACAUAGGAAAUGAGUUAUGCUCCAGACCUACCAGCACCCAGAUAGACUCACCACAAGCUGACCCCGAGGCCCCUUUAUCAAGGGAGGAGGAGGUGUAUGUGAACAUGCCACAGCGAGAGGGUUGCAAAGAGGCACUUACGGCAGUACAGGAGUUUGGAAAUGAUGUAUGAGGACUGGAGGCAUAUAGGGGAGGGUUAGACAAUAGAUUGUGUUUUAGUGAUGCUUUUUUUUACUGUAACUGUUGUCUCUGUUGUUAUGUGGUUGCUACUUGAAGUACUGGUGGUGACUUUGUGUUGGUAGAGAGAGACCGAAUGACUGUUCAUGUGCCUCAGGUAGGAUUUCCCAAACUUUGCACGUUUUGCAUAAGUUAUACCCAGGGAGGGUCCCAGGACCGAGUUUUGGAAACCCUGAUAUAACGUGCUGUCUGUGCUGGAAAGUCUUGAACACCUGAUUUAGAUUGUCAGCGACUGUUUGAAGGAUUAUUGAUAAGUGAAUUAUGUGGUGCAUGUGAAUGUUGUUGUAAGGAUACUGUAAAUGUUACACGGCUCAAGGUAUCCCAAAAUCUUUUAUCAUAAGUAGGCAAUAUGGGUUUAUUUUCUCUUGUGUUUGUGGGUGGUUGUUCCAUGUAUAGUCAUUGUACUGUUCAGGACUGGUUUUCGUCGUUCUUUUGUUCAGUGUUCUUUUCUUUAAUAAAUCAAGAAGAUGAUUCACAUCCCCGCUGCAGUUUGGUCCGAUCAUUAUGAUGCUUAUGACACUGCGCCACAUGAG